RNAcentral lists this ribosomal RNA (774 nucleotides) under uncultured Neocallimastigales. Its description in RNAcentral is "partial large subunit ribosomal RNA". It matches the Rfam family "Eukaryotic large subunit ribosomal RNA", at positions 23 to 645 of the family's 3401-position model. The record is from RNAcentral. Lineage: Eukaryota; Fungi; Neocallimastigomycota; Neocallimastigomycetes; Neocallimastigales.
AGAGAUGUGUGAUGACGCAUAUCAAUAAGCGGAGGAAAAGAAACUAACAAGGAUUCCCUUAGUAACGGCGAGUGAAGCGGGAAGAGCUCAAAUUUGAAAUCUUCAAGGUUCUACCUUGACGAAUUGUAGUUUAUAGAAGUGUUUUCUGUUAGUAGAGUGGCAAAAGUUCUUUGGAAUAGGACAUCAUAGAGGGUGAGAAUCCCGUAUUUGGUCAUUCUUUCUAGCUUUGUGAUACACUUUCAACGAGUCGGAUUGUUUGGGAAUGCAGUCCAAAAUGGGUGGUAAAUUUCAUCUAAAGCUAAAUAUUGGCGAGAGACCGAUAGCGAACAAGUACCGUGAGGGAAAGAUGAAAAGAACUUUGAAAAGAGAGUUAAACAGUACGUGAAAUUGUCAAAAGGGAAGCGUUCGACACCAGUGUUGUUUUUCCGAAAAUCAAUUACGAAUGUUUUGUUUUUAAGGAGUUAUGACUUCAUCGGCUUGCUUCUUUCUUUACGAAACUUUCUUAAUGCACUUUUCGGUUAACAAGUCAACAUCAAUUUCUUUUGUUGUAAAAGGGUAUGAGGAAGGUGGCUUUCUUUUCGGAGAAAGUGUUUAUAGCCUUGUGCUUCUGCAAUCGGAGAGAUUGAGGUCUGCAGCGUAGAUCCUUCGGGGUUAGAUACGUUUGUGCUAAGUUAUAGCCUUUCAUAGACAACUUGUUGACUAUGAUCAGUCAUGUAGCUUACUCGCUGAUGCUAUUUUACCUACGCUUAGGAUGUUGACGCAUGAGAUAUACGC